This 466-nucleotide ribosomal RNA is filed under the name uncultured bacterium. Its description in RNAcentral is "SSU rRNA". It matches the Rfam family "Bacterial small subunit ribosomal RNA", at positions 26 to 518 of the family's 1533-position model. The record is from RNAcentral.
AGGACGAACGCUUGCGACGUGCCUAAGAAAUGCAAGUCGAACGGACAGUAGCAAUACUGUUAGUGGCGAACGGUCGCGUAACACGUGGGCAACCUGCCCUGAAGCGGGGGACAACAACUCGAAAGAGUUGCUAAUACCGCAUGUGAAUCGCUGUGGCAUCACAGAGGAUUCAAAGCCGCAAGGCACUUCAGGAUGGGCCCGCGGCCUAUCAGCUAGUUGGUGAGGUAACGGCCCACCAAGGCUUCGACGGGUAGCUGGUCUGAGAGGACGAUCAGCCGGAUUGGGACUGAGAUACGGCCCAGACUCCUACGGGGGGCAGCAAUUAGGAAUCUUGCACAAUGGGCGAAAGCCUGAUGCAGCGACGUCGCGUGAAGGAUGAAAUCUUUCGGGAUGUAAACUUCUUUUCUGGGAAGAAUAAUGACGGUACCAGAGAAUAAGCCCCGGAUAACUACGCGCCAGCAGCCGC